CUGAUGAACUCAUGAACCAUUCCAUUUCAGGUUGUUGGCCUCAAGCUGGACUUCGUUUGAGCCAAUGGCAGCAUCAGUGAAACCAAAAAGUUUGGCAGAAAGCCACCAUGGAUGUCCUGCCACUCAUCUCUCGGCUGGCUGGCUAGGGACUGUAGUGCUUCACCCACAAUGGUAUGAAUGAAAGCUCCAUGAGCUCCUGAACCAUGCUAGGGCUUUUAAGUGAGGCAGGAAGGGUGAAGGAAGACUGAGAUAUCAGAAACCCAUGUGUCACCUGGGGGCCUUUUGCCUACUGAGUCCCUGGGGGUCUCAAUGAAUGGCAAUGCCCUGCUCACUUUUCAACCGGGUUCUGUUCGGAGUGAUGGUUUCUCUUUGAUUCUAUAACCAUUCCUUUUCAGAGGGCUGUAUGCAGGCUGUGGAGAGCAGGAGUGCCCUGCCUGACCAUAGUUCAUACAAAUUCUCCCUGAUGGAGCAUAGACUGACAGUGACCUCACAUCAUGCUAGCGGGCCGCUCAACGUCACUCUGCAAGCAGAACGACACCAGGUGGUUCGCACAAUGCGUCCAAGAGGAACUGAAUGUUUCACUGGAUGCCAGCUGUGUGGUUAGCCUCAAGCUGGACUUCGUUUGAGCCCAUGAGAGCAUCAGUGAAAGCAAAAAGGUUGUCAGGAGGCAACCAUGGAUGUCCUGCCACUCAUCUCUCAGCUAGCUGGCUAGAGACUGGAGUGCUUCACGCACAAUGGUAUGAGCGAGGGCUCCAGGAGCUCCUGAACCAUGCUAGGGCUUUUGAGGGAGGCAGGGAGGGUGAAGGAAGCCUG
This 813-nucleotide long non-coding RNA is filed under the name Fukomys damarensis (Damara mole-rat). Its description in RNAcentral is "lncRNA (ENSFDAG00000024187.1)". The record is from RNAcentral. Lineage: Eukaryota; Metazoa; Chordata; Mammalia; Rodentia; Bathyergidae.